This 3028-nucleotide long non-coding RNA is filed under the name Hordeum vulgare. RNAcentral's name for it is "long non-coding RNA (HVUL_LNC013493)". Lineage: Eukaryota; Viridiplantae; Streptophyta; Magnoliopsida; Poales; Poaceae. The record is from RNAcentral.
UUGAGCUAGCACGUCAUGUUCUUGAGAAUGCAACAUCACUUGAGUGCCUUACAUUGGAUACUACUCCUAUUAGUUACCGAUGUUCUGGUGAUAUAUUGGACAGGAAAUGCCCUCCACUGGACACUGCAUGUAUAAGGGAUGCACAUAAAUCAUACUUGGCUGUGAGAACAUACAUUGAGGGGAAAGUUAACUCAACAGUCAAGUUAAACUUACUAGGGCCUUGCAGUCGGUGUUAUGCUUUGUGAAAUUCAGAUCUCAAAUCACCAUGUGAAGUUUAGUUACUAAAUGUUUGCCUUCGAGUUCUUUGUUUUGGCUCUGUUAUAGAACUCCCAUAAGAACUUAUUAGCAGACUGUCAAAAUUUAUGUAAUAUUUACUUGAUUUACCAGUUAUUGUUGUGGAGUUCAUUUAUUUUUUAUUUGCACCUGGUGAACAGUUGUACUCCCUCUGUAAAGAAAUGUAUUAGAUCACUAGAUUAGUAUCUAAACGAUCUUACAGACAUGUAUUAGAUCACUAGAUUAGUAUCUAAAUGAUCUUACAUUUCUUUACAGAGGGAGUAUAAGAUAAUGAUCUUACAUUUCUUUACAGAGGGAGUAUAAGAUAAUGAUCUAAAUGAUCUUAUAUUUAGUACAAGAUAAUUGAUACAGUACUAAAUAGCGAUGAAGGAAUUCUGGCAAAUUUAUCUGUUUCAAUGUUCUAGCAAUACUUGUGAAAAUCACAAGUUGCUGAGAUAAGAUCCAUGAAAAGCAAGGUCCCAAAUAGGCAAAGAUAUUUUCAUUCUUGUGGUGCAAUUUCAUCCAAGCUGAAAGUAGCCUUUGAGUAAAAACAUUUUUCAAAGUUCGCAAGUGGAGUUUCUCUUGAGCACAGCUGGAACCUUUAGGCCCUGACUGGAACGUCGUUUUGAAGCUUACACCUGUCAAAUACGCCCUCGUAAAGAUAAUCCCUGGGAUGAUUGGUUGUGAGAUUACACCCGGUUAUGGCUGGUAUGGAAAACUUUGACAUCGGCUAUGACCCUUGGUCGUCCGCUUCUUCUGUCAUAGAGAACCCGUCCUGCGUUUUGUUUGAAUUUCGUCCAUUUGGGUAGGGUAAUGUGGCGGUGUCCGGCCUGUUUUGUGGAUGCACUCAUCAUGUGUCCAACGCGCGGACGCAUCUCGUCCAUUACGGUUGGGCGUUUAUUUUUUCGAAUGUGUUUUGUUGGGUAUUGAGACAUUUUUAUUUCAUCAAAGACAUUUUCAUACACACAUUCACCAAUUCUUUGCUACAAGAGCAAGACCAGAGAAGACAAGAACCACAAUUAGAUAUUUUAGAAGAUGUUUAACUUCCAUAAAUGCUUUUAGUUGGAUUAAUAUCUUCUCUGUGUCUUGAUCUGCGGAUUCUUGAGCUUGACAACUUUCUUCUUUGGUUCUAAAGAAGUAGACAUUGUUUCUUCUUUGGUCUUUUCUUUAGUCUCAUCUCUAACUUCAAUUCUAGCUAGAAGUGCAUGUACAUCUAGCAAAUUUCGUUCGAUCAAAAGAUCGAUGUAGAUUUCUUCCCAAUACCAAAAACUGCAUCCCACCUACACAUUGGCGGUGCCAGGAUCAAAACCUUGUGAUGUCAAGCUUUACUAAUGAACUUUGUUUAGAUCAUAAACAGAAGCAAAAAAUAACAUACUUUACUACAAACAAACAUAUCUAUGAUAGUAGUGCUUUGGGAUCAUGCAUACUUUGAUAUGUUGUGAGCAUCAAUAGGAGUUUGUUCUUCCCCCAUUUUUAGGCGAUUGUUGUGAGGAAUUUGCAACAUUUGGCUUGGACUGCCACUUCUUUACGAAUUUAUCCAUUUAUCAAACCAAAGACCUGACAAGAUAAGAAAAACAAAAUAUGCAAUUCUUAUUCUUAAUAAAAAAAAAAUCUCUUGCUUCCUGAAUCCUAAUAUUGCUAGUGAGAGAAAAAAAUGGAAGAUAAAGGGAAGCAGAUAAAUAAAUAAUAAAACUUAUAAAUAGAAGUGGAGGGUCUCGUCCUGAAGUUGGAUCGGAUAGAGUAGUGACUAGUACAACCGUAUUGAUCAAUUGAUUCUCGCGCUGUCGCACACUAUGCGUGUGCAGCCGCGGGUGCGUCGUCGCUCGCGGCUCGCCAGACUGCUGGGACGGUCAUGAGUUAGUACCGGAUGUUGAAGGAGAUCACGUAAUUUGGGAAUCAACGCAGUUAAGGGAUUUCGGACUUCUUGCUAGCGGCCCAACCAAUUGUUACCUAAGCAGAGAAUAACACGAUAGAUGAGCCUGUGUACUUGAAAUUCCAAAUUCAGCUUGUCAUAUGCAGACCUGGAUCAACUACGUACGAAAAUCCUGUCUAGUCAAGCCACUACACACGUAUAACGUGGCUUCGCCACUGCACCUACACACAAAUUUGAGCUAAUAAGCUAACAAAAUUUCGGGAGUCCGAAUGCAAAACCAAGCCAAAAAACGGAUAUACCUCAUCGUUUUUGCACUUGAUGAACACCCAUUGGGGAUGUUCGGCGUCGUAGAGACGCCCUGUCAUAUCAGGGGCCCUGUGCAAAACCAAAGAGAGGGGCCCCAUGCACAUAAAAUAUGUACUGAAAUAGUUAAUCCUGCAUUUUUUUAUUACAAAGUCGAUAUAGAUAAUACUUUGUUGAUUACAGAUUAUGACACACACUCUCACUAUAUGAUCCCAACACUGCAAAAGAUGAAAUGCAAAUUACAUAAGGAAAUUACAUGAUUUCUAGAUGACAUCUUAGCAAAAAAAUAGUAUACUCGUCAAAAGCCAAGGCAAAAAAUUGGAUUAAAAGUACCUACAAACUGCAGUCUGAAGAGUGAACACCCAAAGAAUGGUGGCAGAAGAACCUGAUUGCUGUCGAAUGGACUGCUCGUCUACUCCGAUCCAGGUCUGCUACGAUCUCCCCGCGAACGAAAUCCCCUUCACAGCUACAUGAACAGCUUGGGCGUGAUAUCAGGGGAUCAAGCCCAUGAGCAGCUUGGGCGUGAUAUCAGGGGAUCAAGCCCAUGAGCAGCUUGGGCGUGAUAUCAGGGAAUCAAGC